This 92-nucleotide Y RNA is filed under the name Prolemur simus (greater bamboo lemur). RNAcentral describes it as "Y RNA (ENSPSMG00000017908.1)". It matches the Rfam family "Y RNA". Rfam says of the family: Y RNAs are components of the Ro ribonucleoprotein particle (Ro RNP), in association with Ro60 and La proteins. The record is from Rfam by way of RNAcentral. Lineage: Eukaryota; Metazoa; Chordata; Mammalia; Primates; Lemuridae.
GGCUGGUCCAAUGGUAGUGGGUUAUCAGAACUUAUUAACAUUAGUGUCACUAAAGUUUACAUACAAUCUCCCACUGCUAAAUUUGGCUUAAA